Long non-coding RNA from Zingiber officinale, 2053 nucleotides. RefSeq lists it as uncharacterized. Lineage: Eukaryota; Viridiplantae; Streptophyta; Magnoliopsida; Zingiberales; Zingiberaceae. The record is from RefSeq and is a predicted model, not a curated record. The transcript has 5 exons.
GCCGAUCCCCUCGAAGCGAUCACCCUAUCCCCCUUUUCCCUUUCUCUUUCGAUUUUUUCACGUGAUAGGCCCCUGGGUUCCUAUCACAAAUCCGCCUUCUCGUGAUCUGCUCCAAGCGGCGACAACAGCAACUCCGACGGCGUUUGAGAAGGGCAACUCAGAGGAGGACGAAGCUGGCCUUCAGCAUUUACUCCGGUGAGGAUCCCUCUUCUCCAUUUUCCCCGAAUUAUCCAUCAACAGGCGGCGGAUUUAAUUAGGGUUUUCACCGGCGUGGUUGCGCCGGAGGAUUCCCUCAUCUCUGAUUUGACCAAGUCUGAAAUCCCUUGCCGACGUGGUAGCGAGAGAAGGGAAACUCAAAGGAGGACGGAGCUGGCCUUGAACAUCUUCUCUGGUGAAGCCUUACUGAAAUCCAACACUGAGGCUGUUGUGGACUUCCACGAACGUGGUUGCGAAUGCUGGCAUGAUCCCAGCAACUUCAAUCUUCAAUUCUGGCAGCAAGCUUCAUUUCAUCUCUCUGCUAUUCAACUUCGCGUAGUUUGUGUUGGUGGAAUCAGUAGAUCAGAGGGUGAGGACAGUAAUUUUUGUGUAAUCUGUUGCUCUUCACUGAAGUGUUUAACUGCGGGAAGAACCAGCCAUUAUGUAUCAUUGUCCGGGAUCAGUUUAGUCAUCUGUAUUGUUGUCCACCGGCGUUGCUGGUUCCAUCUCCGGGCCCCCUUGUGACAAAGGAGGGAGGAAGCAUCUGCAAGCUUGCGACGUCAAGUAAAAGAGAAAGAAAACCAGAGGAAAAGGAGCUGUCCACUGCCUCAUUUUGUGGAUUGGGUGCACUGAUUUAGCUUAAAGUAUACAACGGUGGUGAUUCCCAGUGGGACCUCCAAAACAUUCUCUCAAUCAUCUCCCCCAUACUUGUUGAUUGCUUAUGUACGGAUUUCAUCUGAUUUUUCCAUUCUUGCAAGUAGGUCACUGGACAGCAGACAGAUAAAAAAAACAAAAAACAAAAAAAAAGCAAGAUCAUACCUUUUCCAUGUUGAUCCUAGGAAAUGGUUUCACAGAGAUGAUGAUAACAUUCUUAAAGAUGUAAUGUAUGCCCCUCUCCUUAGUGGCUCCAUCCAAGCCAGCAUAAUCUGUCUCUGCCAUGGGUGGGUGGGAGUAGAGAUACCCCAGAAAGAGGCAGCUUGUGCCACUAUUAUCUCAUGAACAUGAGAACCAGGGCAUCUUCAGACUGCUGGUGGAACUCACCACUCAACAUAAAUGAGUACUUUGAGAAAAAUGCACCAGAAAGUAAGUGGUCCCUAAAGUCAUCCUAUUCCUUGCGAAAACAAUAGGUUCAGCUGGACGAUAAGCAUACACAUCCAAUUCCAUACUUCGUGAUCCCAUGAGCAUCAUGCUUUCUCCUUUUUCUGCCCCUUUAUCUUAUUGGAUUUCUUGAGUUUGGAUGAGCUGAUGGUAGGCAACAUCGCGAGAAGAUGUCACUGUUUUUGUGGUGUUGGAGCUAGAGGAUAUUUUUUGGGAAGGAAGAUGCACAGAGACAUGGUUGCAUUAGUUUACUGCCACAGGCUUGCACCAGUUGCACAUUCUGAUCUUCUUUUUGGCUGAGUUUCAUGUGGUAAAUAGUGCUCUUAUAAUGGUCCUUGGAAGAGCAAAGGUGAAUCUGCAGUGACAGAGUAGUGGAUUACAUUAUGUAUCAUUCUGAAUAAUUCCAUAGCAUUGCCUGAGGAUGAUUUAGUUUAGCUGUUGCAGUAUCCACUUUGCAUUGAUAAUCUUCUCUUGGGCAGAUACACAGAUGGAAGGACUGGGAAAAGGAUACGACAUCGGCUGAGUAUGCCUUCACGACUGGUAUAUAUAUGUUCACUAUUCUUUGUUUUUUUGUCCCAGAUUUGCAUCCUUGGAUCCUAGUUUGAGUGGUAAAAGUGCAGAACCAGUAUAUCGUGAUGCAAAAGGGAAAGCUAUUUCAAAGGAAGAGCUACUGAAACCAAAGGAGGAAGAGAAACCAAAGUUUACAAAUCUCAAGUACUCCAGAGUUGAAAUUGAUGAAGUGCGGUUUGAGUGGGCUGAA